GGGCCGUUCGCUUAACAGUAAAGCGCCUCAUUCGCAUUGAGGAGAUUGCCAGUGCAAAUCUGGCACGGUCCA
Molecule: transfer RNA, 72 nt
Filed under: Candidatus Nealsoniibacteriota bacterium
Lineage: Bacteria; Candidatus Nealsoniibacteriota
Description: Candidatus Nealsonbacteria bacterium tRNA-Ala
Rfam family: tRNA
About the family: Transfer RNA (tRNA) molecules are approximately 80 nucleotides in length. Their secondary structure includes four short double-helical elements and three loops (D, anti-codon, and T loops).
Source: RNAcentral